This 193-nucleotide microRNA precursor is filed under the name Oryza brachyantha (malo sina). RNAcentral's name for it is "MIR812 microRNA precursor family". It matches the Rfam family "MIR812 microRNA precursor family". Lineage: Eukaryota; Viridiplantae; Streptophyta; Magnoliopsida; Poales; Poaceae. The record is from Rfam by way of RNAcentral.
AAUAACUCCAUUUUUCAGUUUUUUAUACAACGUUUUGACUAUUCGUCUUAUUUAAAUUUUUUUUGCGAUUAAUAUUUUUAUUGUUACCAGACGAUAAAAUAUAAAUAAUACUAUAUGUGUGACUAAUUUUUUAAAGUUUUUUUAUAAAUCUUUUAAAUAAGACGAAUGGUCAAACGUUCGGCACAGAGAAACA